CUACGGAGGGUCCGAGCGUUAAGCGGAAUUACUGGGCGUAAAGCGCGCGUAGGCGGCUAUAUAAGUCAGAUGUGAAAUCCCUGGGCUCAACCUAGGAACUGCAUUUGAAACUGUAUGGCUAGAGUAUGGUAGAGGUGAGUGGAAUUUCAGGUGUAGCGGUGAAAUGCGUAGAGAUCUGAAGGAACAUCAGUGGCGAAGGCGACUCACUGGGCCAUUACUGACGCUGAGGUGCGAAAGCGUGGGUAGCAAACAGGAUUAGAAACCCUAGUAGUCC
RNAcentral lists this ribosomal RNA (274 nucleotides) under uncultured bacterium. RNAcentral's name for it is "partial 16S ribosomal RNA". It matches the Rfam family "Bacterial small subunit ribosomal RNA", at positions 523 to 796 of the family's 1533-position model. The record is from RNAcentral.